RNAcentral lists this ribosomal RNA (253 nucleotides) under uncultured bacterium. RNAcentral's name for it is "partial 16S ribosomal RNA". It matches the Rfam family "Bacterial small subunit ribosomal RNA", at positions 524 to 776 of the family's 1533-position model. The record is from RNAcentral.
UACGUAGGGUGCUAGCGUUGUCCGGAUUUAUUGGGCGUAAAGGGUGCGUAGGCGGCCUGACAAGUCUGAUGUGAAAUCCCUGGGCUCAACCCAGGGCCUGCAUCGGAAACUGUCGGGCUUGAGUAUGGGAGAGGUGAGUGGAAUUUCCGGUGUAGCGGUGAAAUGCGUAGAUAUCGGAAGGAACACCUGUGGCGAAAGCGGCUCACUGGACCAUUACUGACGCUGAGGCACGAAAGCUAGGGGAGCAAACAGG